This 72-nucleotide transfer RNA is filed under the name Dendrothrips minowai. RNAcentral's name for it is "tRNA-Gly". Lineage: Eukaryota; Metazoa; Arthropoda; Insecta; Thysanoptera; Thripidae. The record is from RNAcentral.
AUGUAGUUGUUGUACCCAACUAGCAUAUUUAUUUUCCAAAUAAAAGGUCAAGCCUUAAAAAUUGACUACAUA